CCGUUUCGCCGAUAGCUCAGUUGGUAGAGCGGUGGACUGUGGAUCCAUAGGUCGCUGGUUCAAAUCUGGCUCGACGGA
Non-coding RNA from Dermacentor albipictus, 78 nucleotides. The record is from the annotation of a RefSeq genome assembly. NCBI's taxonomy places the organism in Eukaryota, Metazoa, Arthropoda, Arachnida, Ixodida, Ixodidae.